This 248-nucleotide ribosomal RNA is filed under the name uncultured bacterium. RNAcentral describes it as "partial 16S ribosomal RNA". It matches the Rfam family "Bacterial small subunit ribosomal RNA", at positions 523 to 769 of the family's 1533-position model. The record is from RNAcentral.
AUACGUAGGUGGCGAGCGUUGUCCGGAAUUACUGGGUGUAAAGGGUGCGUAGGCGGGUGAUAAAGUCAGGUGUGAAAUACCACAGCUUAACUGUGGGGCUGCACUUGAAACUUAUCAUCUUGAGUGAGGUAGAGGUAAGCGGAAAUUCCGUGUGUAGCGGUGAAAUGCGUAGAUAUACGGAGGAACACCAGUGGCGAAGGCGGAUUACUGGACGAUAACUGACGCUGAGGCGCGAAAGCGUGGGGAGC